This 549-nucleotide ribosomal RNA is filed under the name uncultured bacterium. RNAcentral's name for it is "partial 16S ribosomal RNA". It matches the Rfam family "Bacterial small subunit ribosomal RNA", at positions 355 to 920 of the family's 1533-position model. The record is from RNAcentral.
UGGGGAAUAUUGGACAAUGGGCGCAAGCCUGAUCCAGCCAUGCCGCGUGAGUGAUGAAGGCCCUAGGGUUGUAAAGCUCUUUCGCCAGGGACGAUAAUGACGGUACCUGGAUAAGAGGCCCCGGCUAACUUCGUGCCAGCAGCCGCGGUAAUACGAAGGGGGCUAGCGUUGUUCGGAAUCACUGGGCGUAAAGCGCACGUAGGCGGAUCUUUAAGUCAGGGGUGAAAUCCCGAGGCUCAACCUCGGAACUGCCUUUGAUACUGGAGGUCUCGAGUCCGGGAGAGGUGAGUGGAACUGCGAGUGUAGAGGUGAAAUUCGUAGAUAUUCGCAAGAACACCAGUGGCGAAGGCGGCUCACUGGCCCGGUACUGACGCUGAGGUGCGAAAAGCGUGGGGAGCAAAACAGGAUUAGAUACCCUGGUAGUCCACGCCGUAAACUAUGGAUGCUAGCCGUUGGGCAGCUUGUGUUCAGUGGCGCAGCUAACGCUUUAAGCAUCCCGCCUGGGGGAGUACGGUCGCAAGAUUAAAACUCAAAUGAAUUGACGGGGUC